UGACGAGAAAGGUUGGUGCUUGGCCUGUGCGCGUCGUGUGCCUGUGUGAAAAGCUGCAGCAACUCUUGGAAUCGUUCAUUGCCUCGUACACGCUUCACGCGCACGGUUCACAUUCCUACGCAGCCAACUGGCGGAGCUGUCCAUGCAGCCCAGCUGCAGGAAGUGGUUAACAAUUUAUGGCAAUUAAAUAAUGCAGACUUAAUGAUACGAAGUCAAAUUAAGCAAAAGGAAAUAUUCAAUUCAAUUUAAUGCCUGUGGCAGACAUUGCGUAUGCUUAACAGAAAUUAAUUUGUGCGUUCAACUCGAAAGAAAAAGCUUUCACACUCGUUCGGAAUACGCCUAAAGCACAUGCGCCCCAAACACAAAGCGAGCGGGAGAGUGACAGUGAGAGUGAGAGUGAGACAGACAAAGCAAGCCUUUAGAUCAAAACUAAUACAAGCAAACGCACAAUGAAACUAAUAACGGUAUUCUAAAACAACAACUUAAAAAUAUAAUAUUUAUAUAUAGUA
This 509-nucleotide small RNA is filed under the name Drosophila mojavensis. RNAcentral describes it as "GI26175". The record is from RNAcentral. Lineage: Eukaryota; Metazoa; Arthropoda; Insecta; Diptera; Drosophilidae.